GGGUAACCAUGGACUACCUGGACCCCUGGAGCAAAAGGCAAUGGCCACAAAGAUGAAGCUGAUCUCCAGGACCAGCAGGCCCCCAGGACCAGCAGGCCCAUGAGGCGUUGGAGAUGCUGGACCAAAGGGAGAAGAUGAAAUGAGAGGGUAUCCUGGGCCACCAAGGCCACAGGGAAGCGGAAUGAUUGGUCCCAAGUUAGGGAGACUAUGGAAAUAAAGGUGAUCCCAGGAGCAAAGGAGCCAAAGGAGAGAUUAGAG
Cuculus canorus (common cuckoo) is the source of this 258-nucleotide long non-coding RNA. RefSeq lists it as uncharacterized. Lineage: Eukaryota; Metazoa; Chordata; Aves; Cuculiformes; Cuculidae. The record is from RefSeq and is a predicted model, not a curated record. The transcript has 4 exons.